RNAcentral lists this transfer RNA (71 nucleotides) under Loxodonta africana (African savanna elephant). It matches the Rfam family "tRNA". Rfam says of the family: Transfer RNA (tRNA) molecules are approximately 80 nucleotides in length. Their secondary structure includes four short double-helical elements and three loops (D, anti-codon, and T loops). The record is from Rfam by way of RNAcentral. Lineage: Eukaryota; Metazoa; Chordata; Mammalia; Proboscidea; Elephantidae.
GCUCUAGUGGUUCAGUGGUAGAAUUCUCACCUUCCAUGCAGGAGACCUGGGUUCAAUUCCCAGCCACCGUA